UGGACCAACAAUGAUGACUGUUAGCAUAUGGGGCAUAUGUGAUGAAUAAGUGUCUGGAACUCUGGGGUCCAA
Molecule: small nucleolar RNA, 72 nt
Organism: Rhinolophus ferrumequinum (greater horseshoe bat)
Lineage: Eukaryota; Metazoa; Chordata; Mammalia; Chiroptera; Rhinolophidae
Source: Ensembl